GGAAGUGUAGUUCAGUGGCAAGGCCCCCUCUUUGCAUUUAGAAGGUCCCAGGUUCAAUUCCUGGCAUCUCCA
This is a non-coding RNA of Podarcis lilfordi (Lilford's wall lizard), 72 nucleotides long. The record is from the annotation of a GenBank genome assembly. NCBI's taxonomy places the organism in Eukaryota, Metazoa, Chordata, Lepidosauria, Squamata, Lacertidae.